GCCACCCUAGCUCAGUUGGUAGAGCGCAUCACUCGUAAUGAUGAGGCCGCCGGUUCGAUUCCGGCGGGUGGCUCCA
This 76-nucleotide transfer RNA is filed under the name Sedimenticola selenatireducens. Its description in RNAcentral is "tRNA-Thr". It matches the Rfam family "tRNA". Rfam says of the family: Transfer RNA (tRNA) molecules are approximately 80 nucleotides in length. Their secondary structure includes four short double-helical elements and three loops (D, anti-codon, and T loops). Further hydrogen bonds mediate the characteristic L-shaped molecular structure. tRNAs have two regions of fundamental functional importance: the anti-codon, which is responsible for specific mRNA codon recognition, and the 3' end, to which the tRNAs corresponding amino acid is attached (by aminoacyl-tRNA synthetases). tRNAs cope with the degeneracy of the genetic code in two manners: having more than one tRNA (with a specific anti-codon) for a particular amino acid; and 'wobble' base-pairing, i.e. permitting non-standard base-pairing at the 3rd anti-codon position. RNAcentral also lists the same sequence under 1 other name. Lineage: Bacteria; Pseudomonadati; Pseudomonadota; Gammaproteobacteria; Chromatiales; Sedimenticolaceae. The record is from RNAcentral.